RNAcentral lists this long non-coding RNA (492 nucleotides) under Homo sapiens (human). RNAcentral's name for it is "long intergenic non-protein coding RNA 354". Lineage: Eukaryota; Metazoa; Chordata; Mammalia; Primates; Hominidae. The record is from RNAcentral.
GGUGGACAUGGACUCCAUGGAAGCCUGAGCUGCCAGGGGCUUCCCUGGGGCAGCACUGCUUCGCGUAGGCUCACGAGAAACUUCCAGGGUUCCUGGCGCCAGCCUUUCAACAGAGCAGCACAUUAUGCCUGGAUAAGACUCAAAGAGCAGCUUAAUAUCAGGUUCUCUGGGGCUGUAAUCAUCGGUUCAGGAUGGAGCAGACACAGCCGCAGCAAGGCCUCUGUGCAGCCCCCGGUUUAAAACACAUCAACGCAUCCGUGGGCACUUUUGUGAGUUAAAGCUCAACUUACACAUCUGCCUGUAUCCAUAGGAAAUGAAUGAAAAUAAACAAACAAAUUCCUUGCAUUCAACGCAGCGUAAGAAAAAUCACAUCCUGUUCCCCAGUAGCUGAGGAAAGCCGGCUCACGAGAGUAUACAGGGAGAAGAGGCCAGCAUUGUGUGGCUGCCAGCAAAGCUCACUUGUAUGUCAAAUGCAGCGCUUUUCUUAGCCCA